RNAcentral lists this ribosomal RNA (412 nucleotides) under uncultured bacterium. RNAcentral's name for it is "bacterial SSU rRNA". It matches the Rfam family "Bacterial small subunit ribosomal RNA", at positions 505 to 915 of the family's 1533-position model. The record is from RNAcentral.
GUGUCAGCAGCCGCGGUAAUACGAAGGGGGCUAGCGUUGUUCGGAAUCACUGGGUGUAAAGGGCGCGUAGGUGGUUGUCUGUGUCUCAUGUGAAAACUCAGGGCUCAACUCUGAGAUUGCGUGGGGAACUAGGCAGCUAGAGGACGGUAGAGGGGAGUGGAAUUCCCGGUGUAGCGGUAAAAUGCGUAGAUAUCGGGAGGAACACCGGUGGCGAAGGCGGCUCUCUGGGCCGAUCCUGACGCUGAGGCGCGAAAGCUAGGGGAGCGAACCGGAUUAGAUACCCGGGUAGUCCUAGCCGUAAACGAUGGGUGCUAGGUGUUGGGGGGUAAAGACCCUUCAGUGCCGAAGCCAACGCGAUAAGCAUCCCACCUGGGGAGUACGGCCGCAAGGUUGAAACUUAAAAGAAUUGGGG